UACGUAGGGGGCGAGCGUUGUCCGGAAUUAUUGGGCGUAAAGAGCGUGUAGGCGGUUCGGUAAGUCCGCCGUGAAAACCUGGGGCUCAACCCUGGGCGGGCGGUGGAUACUGCUGGGCUAGAGGAUGGUAGAGGCGAGUGGAAUUCCCGGUGUAGCGGUGAAAUGCGCAGAUAUCGGGAGGAACACCAGUAGCGAAGGCGGCUCGCUGGGCCAUUCCUGACGCUGAGACGCGAAAGCUAGGGGAGCGAACAGG
RNAcentral lists this ribosomal RNA (253 nucleotides) under uncultured bacterium. RNAcentral describes it as "partial 16S ribosomal RNA". It matches the Rfam family "Bacterial small subunit ribosomal RNA", at positions 524 to 776 of the family's 1533-position model. The record is from RNAcentral.